CCUACGGGAGGCAGCAGUGGGGAAUUUUGCGCAAUGGGGGCAACCCUGACGCAGCAACGCCGCGUGAGUGAUGAAGGCCUUCGGGUCGUAAAGCUCUGUCAGAGGGGAAGAAAUGCAGGUGGUGAACAACCAUUCUGUUUGACGGUACCCUCAAAGGAAGCACCGGCUAACUCCGUGCCAGCAGCCGCGGUAAUACGGAGGGUGCUAGCGUUGUUCGGAAUUAUUGGGCGUAAAGCGCGUGUAGGCGGUUUGUUAAGACUGAUGUGAAGGCCACGGGCUCAACUGGGGAAGUGCAUUGGAUACUGGCAGACUUGAGUACGGGAGAGGAGAGUGGAAUUCCAAGUGUAGGAGUGAAAUCCGUAGAUAUUGGGAGGACCACCGGUGGCGAAGGCGGCUCUCUGGACCGAUACUGACGCUGAGACGCGAAAGCGUGGGGAGCAAACAGGAUUAGAUACCCUUGUAGU
This 464-nucleotide ribosomal RNA is filed under the name uncultured Geobacteraceae bacterium. RNAcentral's name for it is "partial 16S ribosomal RNA". It matches the Rfam family "Bacterial small subunit ribosomal RNA", at positions 338 to 794 of the family's 1533-position model. Lineage: Bacteria; Pseudomonadati; Thermodesulfobacteriota; Desulfuromonadia; Geobacterales; Geobacteraceae. The record is from RNAcentral.